UUUCCGUAGGUGAACCUGCGGAAGGAUCAUUACAACAAGGUUCCCUGGCCCUCGAAGCUUCGGCGGAGGGGUGCUCCAGCCUGACUUUAUACCCACCCUUUGCCUAUGUGUACCCCUAUUGCUUCCCUCGGCGGGUUCGCCCGCCGACAGGAACCAACUAAACCCUUUGCAUUAUACAUUUAACACUUCCGAUACAAAACUAAAUUAUUACAACUUUUAACAAUGGAUCUCUUGGUUCUG
This 240-nucleotide unclassified non-coding RNA is filed under the name plant metagenome. RNAcentral's name for it is "partial contains small subunit ribosomal RNA, internal transcribed spacer 1, and 5.8S ribosomal RNA". The record is from RNAcentral.